UCUUGGUCAACUGCUUCUGUGACUCGUGUUUUGUACAGUGGCUGAGGAGCGAGGAGGCCGCAGGAACCUGCCCUGGCCAGAGAGCGCAGCUGAGAUCAGUGCAAAGAACCAUCUUGCACUUACAUCUCCUGUGGGCUGAUGCCAAACUCGGAGCCGCGUCAUCUGUCAGAGCAAUUUGUUCUUAAGGAGGAAAGGAGGAGAAGUUGUUUUCCUGAAGGAGCGGGCUGGCUGUGACCGCAGGAGCGUGCGGAAGCUUGUGGAACACGGGAAUGGGAUUUAUCCUGGUGUGAUCCUCCUUCCAGCAAGGAGUUCGCACCAGGAGCGUGCAGGGACCGUGAUACAAUGUGAAGCAGGAGGUAUUAAACAGGGCUGUGCACGGGCAGCAUAAGUUAUCCCGGCAAUGCCUUAACCUGUGUAUUUUAAUACACGUCUAACAGCGAUCCUGAAAAGAAACAGAGGGACGUGGCUGUCGUGAUGAUGGAAAUAAAGCUCCGUGCUUUAUAUUUGAUUGGUGCUUCACUGUUGAAUCCUGUCUGUGUAAAACCAAACCAGCGUUCUGUUGGGAGGCAGAGGACGCUUCUCUCUCUAUUCAAUCCUAAGGCAGAUUUUGCAGUUCCCAGCCACGAGAGUGGGGGUCUGACCUGGCGGAGCUGUGGCAGAGUUUACUUGGCCUUCCUAGAGCCCUCAAAAAGAACCUGGGGGAAGGAAGAAGAAGGAAAAAAAGCCAUCUAGUUUUAUUAUUUCCACAACCUCAUUUUUCAGCCAGUCAGCACAAUUCAUGGUGUGCCUCUGCCAAGAAAAACACACGGUGGUUCUGGCUGGGGGCUCGCCUGUGAUUUCCAUGGGAGCGGGGGGUCUGCAGGGGGCUGCGUGGGGCUCAGCUCAGCGCUUUUGUUCAGCUGCCCCCAAAUGUGUCCUGCCCUCGCAGAGGGACAGUCCUGCUGGGGCACCGGCCACGCUGGGGUUUCUGCAAGUUACUGCAGGAAUCUGCAGUAGCCACCCUGCCUUACAAUGUUCACUUUAAACGUUCACAAUGUUCACAUUUCUUCUUCAGCGUAAAAGAGAUCUGUUUCCCUUCCCACAUUAGACCAUCCGAAAAACUAAUGGAGAAAGCUGUCUGUGCACAGAAAGUGCAGAAAACGAUUGUGCGAAGCAUCGGGAAGCAACAGGAAAAGCUGCUGGAGGAAAAUGGAAGAGUGGCUGUGAGUCUUGCCAGGGGGUGAGACCAAUAUGUUGCAGCACAGACAAGAGCGCAUUGUGAAAAUCUGUGACUUGCAAGAGCUGGGACGGAUAGAUCUGAAGCUAAUCCGCAGCAUCCGUGCUGGCAGAGAGGUGGCUGCGCUGUGGGAUGUGUCUGUGUCCUUUGCAAGGG
This is a long non-coding RNA of Columba livia (rock pigeon), 1372 nucleotides long. RefSeq lists it as uncharacterized. The transcript is spliced from 3 exons. The record is from RefSeq and is a predicted model, not a curated record. NCBI's taxonomy places the organism in Eukaryota, Metazoa, Chordata, Aves, Columbiformes, Columbidae.